Molecule: long non-coding RNA, 899 nt
Organism: Equus quagga
Lineage: Eukaryota; Metazoa; Chordata; Mammalia; Perissodactyla; Equidae
Exons: 3
Source: RefSeq, a predicted model, not a curated record
CUUAAAAUAUAUGCAAUUCAGAACGAUUUUUAACGUGUUUUCAAUGUAAUGGCAGAUCAGAAACUAUUUCAGCGUAGAAUUCUGUGUCCAUUUACCAAGAAUGAGUGCUGUUCUACAUGUGAAGUUUCAGCUGAGCUCUAACUUCUUAAAAACCAAGAACAGUUUGGUUAGAUACUUAUUCUCUGUGAAAAGGAAGUAUAGGAGUUGGUUGGCGUAGAAAAAUGUUUUCUUCACAUUCAGUUCUAAGAGGAAUUCAUCACACUCUGAAGGAGGAGGGUGGAGUCCUUCACCUUCUGCAGCACCAGGAAGAGUCCCUUCCAGCCCUACUCCCCACACUUGUCAUCAGUGACACACCAGUGUCUUGGGGCACAGCUGGUCUGAUGUAGUCAUCUCUACAAUUAUCAGAUGUUGUUGACAAGAAGAACGCAUUGCUGGGAGUCUUCAGAAGGAAAAUGAAGACCCAAAGAAGCCAUUAGACCUGAAAGCCUAUAUACCUUUUUACAUAAAGAGUGACAAAUUGUGGGGAUGCAACAAGACAAAGGGGCUUGGACUAGUUGUGGAACAAUGACUAGGAAAUACACAGGGGAAACAAAUGGAAGAUGAGGGUUACUUUAGUAGGUUUGUUUGUUCGACUUCCAGUCUCUGAUCAUACUAAUGUUCUUCUCAGUGAUGGACGUUAACUAGACCCAUUGUGGUGAUCAUUUUGCAAUACGUACAUAUAUCAAAUCAUUAUGUUGUACAUCUGAAACUUAUGCAAUCUUAAAUAUCAAUUAGAUCAAUAAAACUGGUAGAAAAAAAAGUUCUCUUCCAGGAAGAGUACAGGAAGGGUACAGAAAGAUACAGGGAGGGCACCUUUCUCAGGGGAAAUUUUGACCUGCUUUUAGGUAGAAAGGGAGAGG